AAUAAAACAAGCAAAAAGAAAAGUAUACAAGGAAUGUAAGAUACCUUAAUUCCACUUCUUUUUUUUUCCAUUUCUUUUGUC
This 81-nucleotide non-coding RNA is filed under the name Protocruzia adhaerens. Lineage: Eukaryota; Ciliophora; Spirotrichea. The record is from RNAcentral.